AGAGCGAACGCUGGCGGCAGGCCUAAUACAUGCAAGUCGAACGGACCCUUCGGGGUUAGUGGCGGACGGGUGAGUAACACGUGGGAACGUGCCCUUUGGUUCGGAACAACUCAGGGAAACUUGAGCUAAUACCGAAUGUGCCCCAUCCUUAAACAAGAUGGGUGGAAAGAUUUAUCGCCAUUGGAGCGGCCCGCGUCUGAUUAGCUAGUUGGUGAGGUAAAGGCUCACCAAGGCGACGAUCAGUAGCUGGUCUGAGAGGAUGAUCAGCCACACUGGGACUGAGACACGGCCCAGACUCCUACGGGAGGCAGCAGUAGGGAAUCUUGCGCAAUGGGCGAAAGCCUGACGCAGCCAUGCCGCGUGAAUGAUGAAGGUCUUAGGAUUGUAAAAUUCUUUCAGCGGGGACGAUAAUGACGGUACCGCAGAAGAAGCCCGGCUAACUUCGUGCCAGCAGCCGC
This 458-nucleotide ribosomal RNA is filed under the name uncultured bacterium. RNAcentral describes it as "SSU rRNA". It matches the Rfam family "Bacterial small subunit ribosomal RNA", at positions 26 to 518 of the family's 1533-position model. The record is from RNAcentral.